Molecule: long non-coding RNA, 1193 nt
Organism: Psammomys obesus (fat sand rat)
Lineage: Eukaryota; Metazoa; Chordata; Mammalia; Rodentia; Muridae
Exons: 4
Source: RefSeq, a predicted model, not a curated record
GGCAUGAGGGUGAAGGCGAGUGAAAGAAGGUGACCGAGCCAGGAGGAGAGAGAGCACAGAUGGCUUGGUGGUGGUUUGGUAUGGUCCUCCUUCCCAUUCCCUCUUAGGCAUGGAGAGCUGACUGAUGGAUAGAGUGUCGCACGAGGACGCAAUGGAAGAAGUGUGCCAUUGCUGAGACCCCAAGGAUGAAGAAUGGUGAGCCCUGACAGUCCUGCUGGCCUCCAGUCAUUUCCCGCUGAAGAUGGCCACUUCCUCCAGCUUGCUCUGGAAACCAAGGUCCAGCAAUGACGAUGGUAGAGGAAACACGAUGCUGUGAAGGACAAUCUCCUUAUCCGUGAUGACAGACAACAGCCCCUGAAAAUAUUUAACCUUAAGCUGCCCUCUGCAAGACUCUUCUGGCAGCAGUGGAUGUCUGAUUCCUGGUAGGCAGAGAUUCUAGGCCAUCAUCUGGAAGAUCUGGAGAAAUAUCUGGCUUUGGGUAAAGUCAAAGGAGAGACUAGAUGGCUCUCAGAGAUAAGGCCCGCUCCUGGGAAGUAAGCGGCUUUGUUGCCCAUGCUGGGCGGAGCUGCUCUGGGCUGGGGGAGUUCUGAUUCCAACAUCUCUGGAGGUGGAUGGCAGCUUCAGAAAGGUUUCCGCAGGAGAAGAGAAAGAGGAGGUCUUCAGUCAACACGAGUUCAGAGAUGGAGAGAUGGCUCGGCAGGUAAGGUGCUUGUGGUACCAGCUGCACGGCCUGAGUUUGAUCCUAAGAACCUACCUGCAUAAAGAUGGAAGGACAGACCCAACUCCACAAAGUUGAACUCUGAUCUCCAUACGUACACAAUAAAAAAAUACUUUUUUAAAAAGUUAACAGUCUGCAUGUGUUCCAUAUUAGCACAUGAACUCCAUCAAGCAGUCUGAUGUUACUUAACAAACAAACAAACAAACCAACAACAGACUUGGAGCUGGAGGUGUAGGAGUGGCAAAAGAAAACUAAAACUUCACAGCUUCUGUAGUCAGAGCUGAGGUCGGCUUCUGCUGUGUGUCACAAAGCCUCUGUUCAACCCUUUUCAUGUGUUGCAAAGAACGGGAAGUAGGGUGUCACAGAGUUUUAUCCCCCUUCCCCAUUUUCAGGCUAACACUUUGGAUAUGAUCAAUCAAUAAAAUAACGACCACUUCCUAUUCGCAUGCCUUAUUUCCUGAAGAGGGGAUAUUGG